UGAAUACGAGACGCUACGGCGUCGAAGCAGUCUAUGUCAUACUUCCAAGAAAAGCUCGCAAUGUCAUAAACAAAUAAUGCCUGUACCAUAACCGACACAGGUGGGUAGGUAGAGUAUACUAAGGGGCGCGAGAUAACUCUCUCUAAGGAACUCGGCAAAAUGACUCCGUAACUUUGGGAGAAGGAGUGCCUUAUUUAUAAGGUUGCAAUAACAAGAUCCAAGCAACUGUUUAUCAAAAACACAGGUCUCCGCUAAGUCGUAAGACGAUGUAUGGGGGCUGACGCCUGCCCAGUGCCAGAAGGUUAAAGAAGUUGGUUAGCAUUCGCGAAGCUGAUAACUGAAGCCCUGGUGAACGGCGGCCGUAACUAUAACGGUCCUAAGGUAGCGAAAUUCCUUGUCGGGUAAGUUCCGACCCGCACGAAAGGCGUAAUGAUUUGGAUACUGUCUCGGAGAGGGGCUCGGUGAAAUAGACUUGUCUGUGAAGAUGCGGACUACCUGCACCUGGACAGAAAGACCCUAUGAAGCUUUACUGUAACUUGAAAUUGAAAUUGGACUUUAUUUGCGCAGCAUAGGUGGGAGGCGUUGAGAGUAUUCUUGCGGGAAUAUUGGAGCCAUCAGUGAGAUACCACUCUUGUAAUGUUAGAUUUCUAACUUUGGAUCAUUAUCUGGUCAAAGAACAGUUUCAGGCGGGCAGUUUGACUGGGGCGGUCGCCUCCCAAAUGGUAACGGAGGCGUACAAAGGUUUCCUCUGAACGGGUAGAAAUCGUAUCUAGAGUGUAAAGGCAUAAGGAAGCUUGACUGUGAGACCUACAAGUCGAGCAGGGACGAAAGUCGGUCUUAGUGAUCUGACGGUGCUGAGUGGAAAGGCCGUCACUCAACGGAUAAAAGUUACUCUAAGGAUAACAGGCUGAUCUCCCCCAAGAGUUCACAUCGACGGGGAGGUUUGGCACCUCGAUGUCGGCUCAUCGCAUCCUGGGGCGGUAGUACGUCCCAAGGGUUGGGCUGUUCGCCAUGAAAGCGGUACGCGAGCUGGGUUCGGAACGUCGUGAGACAGUUCGGUCCAUAUCCGGUGUAGGCGUUAGAAUAUUGAGAGGAGCCUUCUUUAGUACGAGAGGACCGAGAAGGACAUACCUCUGGUGUACCAGUUAUCGUGCCAACGGUAAACGCUGGGUAGCUAUGUAUGGAGAGGAUAACCGCUGAAAGCAUCUAAGUGGGAAGCCCACCUCAAGAUAAGUAUUCU
Molecule: ribosomal RNA, 1240 nt
Filed under: metagenome
Description: bacterial LSU rRNA
Rfam family: Bacterial large subunit ribosomal RNA
Source: RNAcentral